CCCAAUUGGUUACAUUAUUCCCCCAAACAAUGAAUUUAGCUGCUCAUAAUACAAGAAAAGUAGGAAUUUGUCUUAGAAUACAUCACUGAAUUUGUAAUAAAAAUUUAGAAGAAAAAGUAGAAUUCUUGCACCAAAAUAUCCUUCAUCUUCCAAUGAAUGCUUCUAAUCUUCAAUUGUUUGGUGUUAAUCUUCUUGAAUUUCUCUUUUAAAUCUCUCUUCUUGUUGUCUUCUCUCCAAUAUGUCAAGAACCCUUCAAAAGUAUGAGAAAGAUGUAUUUACAGCUGCCCUUCCGUUUUAUGUAGAAGUAGGGUUUUUAUGGAUUUAAAAACGGUCCAAAAAAACGCGCCCUAGAUAUUCAAUUGCAGCGCCUAGGCGCUGAUGAUAGCGCCUCGGCGCUAUGGUUGCGGCACUGUCUCUCGGGUCCAAAUUUCAUCUUUUUUUCAGUUUCGUAGCGCUUAGGCACUGCCUCUUCGUCCACUUUAAUACCUCUUUUCACAUCGCUUCUCCUAAUCUUCAAAACAACACUAAUAAACACAUCAAAAACGUUAUAUACUCACAAGAUCUAGCAUUUAAUUAAACUAAAAUUGUGCAAAAAUAUGAGUGAAACAAACUCAUCACUCGACAUACAAGUCCUCAUCAUCGGGAGCCACACGGGAUGAAUUGGAGGACGGUACACUUGUUCCAACCUGUAAACUCCCACCCGGCUCAUAUUUCUGUUGGGAUAAAGCAAUCAAAUUCUCAUUUGUAAACUCGUUUAUAUUCUCAUUGUCAUCAACUGUCGAUGGAAUUCUAUGCGUAACAGCGACAUCACGAUCAAAAGCAACUGUCUCAGGAAUAACCACAUCAUCCGCAGGAACUAUCUCCACUGUCUCCCAAAAACCUCGAUCAUUGUUAUCCGCCUUACCUGAAUUUUCGCGUUCACCUUCGAUAACAUCCUUCUUAAUUAAAGUCACACCAAGAACAGUCGGAGUCCGAUGCAUUUUAUUCAAUUCUAAUAGAUAAUUCAAUUCAGCAUCAUUAGUAACGAAUACCAAUGGCAUCGGAAUAGAUGAAUCCCCAUAACUGUUGAAUAGAUAUCGCAAUUGCAUAUCGUACUGAGAUUGAUCGACAUUUAGCUUAUUUUGCAAAUGGUGAUACAUUUCUGAGUAUGAUGUACUCUCUAUUAUGAUAAUUGCAAUACAACCACAUAUGUCACUUGUCCAUCUCCAUUCCCACCGAUUAUUUUCAUUCAAUUCGAAAUCACCAAUAUAACAGAAGGGGAUUAUCAUAUCUACAUGAGGAAAUAGAUUCAAUCAACUUCAUAAUUAUAAGAAAAAAUCAGUGCCAAUAGUCGGCUGUUAAACAUCCAAACCAUCGGCUGUUUAAUAGCCAACAGUCAGCCGACUGUUUAGUUGUUUAACAGCCGACUGUUUGGCUAUUUUGCACAUGAAUUUUUUUUCUUCUAUGGUUCUAAAGAAAAAAAGUAUAGAUCUGUUCAAAUUUUUUUAUAUAGGUAAGAUCUGUUAACAAAAAUUUAUACUAACUAUUACUAUAUUGAAAUAAAAUUUCUCUAGUCAAACUAGGGCUGGGCAAAUCUCCUGAAUCGAAUCGACCGAACCCGAACCCGAACCGACGGUUCUUGUCAAAUUAAAUACCCGAACGGGUAUCUGAAUUGAGAACCGACGGGCACGGUUCGGUUCUCGAUUUUAGACCAAGAUCUGAAGAAUCGAAUAAGAACCGAAUAUUUCUAUUUUUUUUAUUAAGUAAAUCAAAUUAUGUUAAUUUUAAUUUGUUCUAAACAAAUUAACAAUUUAUGAAUCCAAAUUUUUGACCCAAUAAUUUAUUUCAUUUCUAAUUUUUUAAUUUUUGGCCCCAUUACCCAUUUUAUUGUUUCAUUUCUUAGCAGAACAAGAUUCAAUCCGUUAAAUAACUCUAAACACCUACACUAAAGUGCAUAACGUUGUCUAGACUCUCAUACUCACUCUCGUAGCCUCCCUGACGUUUCAAAAUCUAUACAAUCGUCGACCGAUGCUGUGACCUUCAAUCGAAGUUGCGACCUCCAUCGACCGAAACUUUGACCAUAGCAAUCAUUUGAAUAAGGUAGUCUACUAGUCUAUUGAAUUCCAAAAUCAUUGGAUGUAUCAUUAAUUGUAUUUAUAUAAUGUUGUUAUAAAUGUUAAAAAAUAUAAUUAUAGUACAUAACCGAACUGAACCGAACCAAACCCGAACGAUUCCAUAAUUAUAUUUGGACCCAACGGUUCCAUUUACUAGAGACCCGAAAAUUUUGGUUCGGUUCGGUACUAAAGAGAACCGAACCGACCCGCGUCCACCCCUAAUUCAAACGUAUACUAAUUUACUGAAAACGAAAUUAAACAUGUGUAAAUAUACUUACCGAUUUGAAGUAAUUGAUAUCAAAAAAAUUCUGGCUUCAGCGUUUGAACGUUUUUUGAGAUGUUGAAGUUGAAGUUGAAGUAGAUGAAAGAUGAGAGAUUUUUCUGUCUUGGAAGCUCCUUUUGAAGUUUUAUAAGUGGGGAAGUGUUUAAUUUUCAAUUAUUAACUAAAAGGGUAGUAAGUCCUUUCAACAAUACAUUGUUUUGUAAUUGUAUAAUGCAUUUAAAGGCAUCUUUGUCUUUUACCAUUCAAGAGGCCAAUGUGAUAAUAUUCAUAAUUUUCAAAGUUAAAGUGGAAUUUUGAACCUUUGACUUGGUCAAAUUUAAAAGUACCCCCUGAACCGAAGACUAAUAAUGUACUAGCUAGCUGAUGGAGUUCUGACUAAUAUCAAAUUCUUGACUAGAUCCAGAACUCUGAGAUCUCGACUUAAAACUCCCAGUAUCAUUAACACUAGUCCAAAAUCUUCCUCUGUUCUUUUUAUGCUGUCCACUAGAGGUUCUUGUUUGGCUUUGAUUUUCCCAAAUAGCUAACUGAAUCCCCCAAAUCUGUCCUGCUUGUAAUGCUGCCUCAACUCUCAAGGUCGCCUCAACUAAUGGAACAAAUCUGGCAUGUCCCUGCCGCGUCACCAUCGCCCUAAUAUCAGGCCUCAAGUUCUCUUCAAAUUGUCUGCUUUUGUCAUUCUCCUCAUUUGCUAGAACCAAUGCAUACUUCGAAAGCUCCACAAACUUGGUAUGAUAUUCAGAAACAGUCAUUGAACCUUGAGUAAGUCUCAAGAACUCAUUUUGCUUGGCAUUCUUUUAUGAAAGAGGAUAUUCGGUCUCAAAGAAAGCAUCUCUAAAAAUAGCCCAUGUGAUGUCAUUGGCUUCACAAUACCUGAUCUUAAAAGCAAAUUACCAGUCAACUACCACACCUUUCAGUAAGAAAGUAGCAAGGCGUAGUUUCUUUUCCUCAGAACAACCCAUAACAUCAAAAACACUUUCUAAAUUCCUAAUCCAUUCCUCAGUAUCAGUAAGGUUAGCUAUGCCCACAAAAUGUUUAGGACCGAGCUUAAUUCCCCUCUCAAUGCUAGUAUCUCUAUUUGGGUUGGGAAGAAUAGAGGCAAUGGCUGUAGCGAGUUUGUCGAAUAGGGGUUCAUUUCCAACCACAUUACCCUGUGUUGGUAGUCCUUGCGUCUGAUGAACUAAUGCCUCACCGACAUCUUUUCCUAGAGGGGCAUUUGGAUUUUCAGGUGAUCAGUGUCGACACCUACCUGCUUUGCCAGUGCGCAUCCUUAACCUACAAUAUGCAUAACAUGUUGAAAGAUUAGUAUAAAUACAACAUAUCCCAGGGACUCUUGAACCAUGCUUUGAUACCAACUUGACACAUCCCAUCCCGAACUCCUUACAAGACUCAAAGACAUGGCGUGUGCCGAUGAUAAGUGCCAACUAAAAUAUAACUAAACUUUGAUAAUAAGGCUUCAUUUGACCAACUAAAAUUUUUCUGAACUUCAAUAUACCAACAUUAUAUUAUCAUUCACUCCCCAAGCCAAAAAAACAUCUUUAUCAUUUGCAUCAUAACUGCCUCUCAAAAGGAUAAUUCUAGGGCAGUUUAGAUUACAAUAUUCCAUCGUGAUCAUUGGUACAUAUAAAUACAAAAAUCCUCAAAUAUGAUGCAAAUCACUUGAUGAUUACACAGUUUUAAACAAAAUAACCUACAAUUGGUGGUGGUAGUGGCUGCAAAACAAUCAAUAUGACCUUUACCACAGCUUAGUCAACAGCCUCUUAUAAGGAAAAGUUAAGAAAAUGUAAGAGAUAAUAAUCCCAGUGAGUUGAGUGUUUA
RNAcentral lists this long non-coding RNA (4188 nucleotides) under Olea europaea subsp. europaea. Lineage: Eukaryota; Viridiplantae; Streptophyta; Magnoliopsida; Lamiales; Oleaceae. The record is from RNAcentral.